UUUAAUCUUAUCACAGGAACAGAACUCCACGAUCACAACCUGGUAUAUCUGGACAAUGGAUGUUCAAGACACAUGACCGGGAACAAAGCCCUCCUUUCUAACUUCAUAGAGAAGGAGGGUCCGUCAGUCAUUUUUGGAGACAAUAGCUCUGGCAAAACAAGAGGAUAUGGCUCAGUUGGAAAUGGUGCAGUAUCUUUCAAUAAAGUAGCC
This 210-nucleotide long non-coding RNA is filed under the name Panax ginseng (ginseng). Its description in RNAcentral is "long non-coding RNA (PGIN_LNC003287)". Lineage: Eukaryota; Viridiplantae; Streptophyta; Magnoliopsida; Apiales; Araliaceae. The record is from RNAcentral.